UAAAACACUGUGCUGAUGUCCCUUAUGGUCAGUUGCUACUUUCCAAAGAAAUGGGAGUUGCCAUCCUUGCUAAGAAGAGGAGGGACCUUGGGCCAAGGCUGUAGGCGAGGUCCCAGAGCCCAUCAGGGGUACAGCUUGACAUGUCACCUGGCCCUGGUCCCCUGAUUCUCAGUUCUGAACCACCACCAUCCAGGGCAGCUCUGUCUAAGAUCCAGCAUGUUCCAAAUCACUAUCUGGUUGUCAUUGUGGCUAGAAGUGUCACCAGAGUCCCAUAGACACAGGAGCAGAAUUUAAAGGCCAUAAACCUUCAUGAGGAUAUCAACCUAUCAUGUCAAAGCCGUUGCAGUCCCCUCUCUGAGAGAGCCUGGGAAGUCUGCCCCCUGGGGCGUGGCUCAUAGUUAAAGCCAGCUGUUGUCACAGCAGCUCUUCAUGAUGCAGCAUCUCAACACUUAAUUACUCUUCUCAGAUGAUAGCAGAUUGGGUUGAGUGCCCGCACUGGCAGCUUUCGCCCAUCUGUGUGGUGGCAUUUACAGAAUUCUGGAAGCAUCUUUGGGCUGGGCUCAUGAGGGGUUCUGUUGCCACUAAACUUGUUUCAGGUGUGUUUCAUUUAUACACGCACCAAGUCCUGAACUCCUUACUUUCACCGUUCUGCUUACAAGAAGUAAAAUAUAUAUUUCCUUUUCUCUGUAUCUUUCUAUAUUUUGAUGAUAGCGGGGAUUGAACCCAGGGCCUUGUGUCCCUAGGCAAGCACUGUGACACCGAACUACAUCCCCUCCUUUAAAUUUUGAGACAGGGCUCACUAAGUUGCCCGGGCUGGACUUGUGAUCCUCCUGCCUCAGCCUCCUGGGCAGCUGGAUUCCAGGCCUGUGCACGGCUCCUUCUGUCCUUCUGCUUCCAAUACAAGUCUCCUUUCCCCAAAUGUGGCUCACCACAGAGCGGGUUCUCCUG
Molecule: long non-coding RNA, 948 nt
Filed under: Marmota monax (woodchuck)
Lineage: Eukaryota; Metazoa; Chordata; Mammalia; Rodentia; Sciuridae
Source: RNAcentral